CUACGGGCCGCAGCAGUGGGGAAUAUUGGACAAUGGGGGAAACCCUGAUCCAGCAAUGCCGCGUGUGUGAAGAAGGCCUGCGGGUUGUAAAGCACUUUCGGUUGGGAGGACUGCUUCUAGCACUAAUAUUGUUGGAAGUUGACGUUACCUUCAGAAGAAGCACCGGCUAACUCCGUGCCAGCAGCCGCGGUAAUACGGGGGGUGCAAGCGUUAAUCGGAAUUACUGGGCGUAAAGCGCGCGUAGGCGGCUAGAUCAGUCGGGUGUGAAAGCCCCGGGCUUAACCUGGGAACUGCAUCCGAUACUGGCUAGCUUGAGUACAGGAGAGGAGAGUGGAAUUCCACAUGUAGCGGUGAAAUGCGUAGAUAUGUGGAGGAACACCAAUGGCGAAGGCAGCUCUCUGGCCUGAUACUGACGCUGAGGUGCGAAAGCGUGGGGAGCAAGCAGGAUUAGAUACCCGGGUAGUC
RNAcentral lists this ribosomal RNA (465 nucleotides) under uncultured bacterium. RNAcentral describes it as "partial 16S ribosomal RNA". It matches the Rfam family "Bacterial small subunit ribosomal RNA", at positions 339 to 795 of the family's 1533-position model. The record is from RNAcentral.